Molecule: regulatory RNA element, 54 nt
Organism: Astyanax mexicanus (Mexican tetra)
Lineage: Eukaryota; Metazoa; Chordata; Actinopteri; Characiformes; Acestrorhamphidae
Rfam family: UnaL2 LINE 3' element
About the family: The eel long interspersed element (LINE) UnaL2 and its partner short interspersed element (SINE) share a conserved 3' tail containing a stem-loop that is critical for their retrotransposition. Presumably, the first step of retrotransposition is the recognition of their 3' tails by UnaL2-encoded reverse transcriptase. The solution structure of a 17-nucleotide RNA derived from the 3' tail of UnaL2 was determined by NMR.
Source: Rfam
AACUUCUAUGUCUGUAAGUCGCUUCGGAUAGAAGCAUCUGCCAAAUGUAAUGUA